Molecule: ribosomal RNA, 950 nt
Filed under: uncultured Gammaproteobacteria bacterium
Lineage: Bacteria; Pseudomonadati; Pseudomonadota; Gammaproteobacteria
Description: bacterial SSU rRNA
Rfam family: Bacterial small subunit ribosomal RNA
Source: RNAcentral
CGCGGUAAUACAGAGGGUGCGAGCGUUAAUCGGAUUUACUGGGCGUAAAGCGUGCGUAGGCGGCUGAUUAAGUCGGAUGUGAAAUCCCUGAGCUUAACUUAGGAAUUGCAUUCGAUACUGGUCAGCUAGAGUAUGGGAGAGGAUGGUAGAAUUCCAGGUGUAGCGGUGAAAUGCGUAGAGAUCUGGAGGAAUACCGAUGGCGAAGGCAGCCAUCUGGCCUAAUACUGACGCUGAGGUACGAAAGCAUGGGGAGCAAACAGGAUUAGAUACCCUGGUAGUCCAUGCCGUAAACGAUGUCUACUAGCCGUUGGGGCCUUUGAGGCUUUAGUGGCACAGCUAACGCGAUAAGUAGACCGCCUGGGGAGUACGGUCGCAAGACUAAAACUCAAAUGAAUUGACGGGGGCCCGCACAAGCGGUGGAGCAUGUGGUUUAAUUCGAUGCAACGCGAAGAACCUUACCUGGUCUUGACAUAGUAAGAACUUUCCAGAGAUGGAUUGGUGCCUUCGGGAACUUACAUACAGGUGCUGCAUGGCUGUCGUCAGCUCGUGUCGUGAGAUGUUGGGUUAAGUCCCGCAACGAGCGCAACCCUCGCCCUUAGUUGCCAUCAUUCAGUUGGGCACUCUAAGGGGACUGCCGGUGAUAAGCCGCGAGGAAGGUGGGGAUGACGUCAAGUCCUCAUGGCCCUUACAGGUUGGGCUACACACGUGCUACAAUGGCGGUGACAGAGGGAAGCGGAGGAGUGAUCCCGAGCCAAUCUCAAAAAGCCGUCUCAGUUCGGAUUGCACUCUGCAACUCGAGUGCAUGAAGGUGGAAUCGCUAGUAAUCGCAGAUCAGCAUGCUGCGGUGAAUACGUUCCCGGGCCUUGUACACACCGCCCGUCACACCAUGGGAGUUGGUUUUACCCGAAGGCGUUUCGCCAACCGCAAGGGGGCAGACGACCACGGUAGGG